UGCAAGUCGAGCGGACUGAUGGGAGCUUGCUCCCUGAUGUCAGCGGCGGACGGGUGAGUAACACGUGGGCAACCUGCCUGUAAGACUGGGAUAACUUCGGGAAACCGGAGCUAAUACCGGAUAAUGUUUUUUAACACAUGUUAGAAAACUGAAAGAUGGCGUCACGCUAUCACUUACAGAUGGGCCCGCGGCGCAUUAACUAGUUGGUGAGGUAACGGCUCACCAAGGCGACGAUGCGUAGCCGACCUGAGAGGGUGAUCGGCCACACUGGGACUGAGACACGGCCCAAACUCCUACGGGAGGCAGCAGUAGGGAAUCUUCCGCAAUGGACGAAAGUCUGACGGAGCAACGCCGCGUGAGUGAUGAAGGUUUUCGGAUCGUAAAACUCUGUUGUUAGGGAAGAACAAGUAUCGUUCGAAUAGGGCGGUACCUUGACGGUCCCUAACCAGAAAGCCACGGCUAACUACGUGCCAGCAGCCGCGGUAAUACGUAGGUGGCAAGCGUUGUCCGGAAUUAUUGGGCGUAAAGCGCGCGCAGGCGGUCUCUUAAGUCUGAUGUGAAAGCCCCCGGCUCAACCGGGGAGGGUCAUUGGAAACUGGGAGACUUGAGUGCAGAAAAGAAGAGCGGAAUUCCACGUGUAGCGGUGAAAUGCGUAAAGAUGUGGAGGAACACCAGUGGCGAAGGCGGCUCUUUGGUCUGUAACUGACGCUGAGGCGCGAAAGCGUGGGGAGCAAACAGGAUUAGAUACCCUGGUAGUCCACGCCGUAAACGAUGAGUGCUAAGUGUUAGAGGGUUUCCGCCCUUUAGUGCUGCAGCAAACGCAUUAAGCACUCCGCCUGGGAGUACGGCCGCAAGGCUGAAACUCAAAGGAAUUGACGGGGGCCCGCACAAGCGGUGGAGCAUGUGGUUUAAUUCGAGCAACGCGAAGAACCUUACCAGGUCUU
This 944-nucleotide ribosomal RNA is filed under the name Bacillus casamancensis. RNAcentral describes it as "bacterial SSU rRNA". It matches the Rfam family "Bacterial small subunit ribosomal RNA", at positions 56 to 982 of the family's 1533-position model. Lineage: Bacteria; Bacillati; Bacillota; Bacilli; Caryophanales; Bacillaceae. The record is from RNAcentral.